Molecule: ribosomal RNA, 301 nt
Filed under: uncultured bacterium
Lineage: Bacteria
Description: partial 16S ribosomal RNA
Rfam family: Bacterial small subunit ribosomal RNA
Source: RNAcentral
CAGCAGCCGCGGGAAUACGUAGGUGGCAAGCGUUGUCCGGAAUUAUUGGGCGUAAAGGGCUCGCAGGCGGUUUCUUGAGUCUGAUGUGAAAGCCCCCGGCUCAACCGGGGAGGGUCAUUGGAAACUGGGAAACUUGAGUGCAGAAGAGGAGAGUGGAAUUCCACGUGUAGCGGUGAGAUGCGUAGAGAUGUGGAGGAACACCAGUGGCGAAGGCGACUCUCUGGUCUGUAACUGACGCUGAGGAGCGAAAGCGUGGGGAGCGAGCAGGAUUAGAUACCCCUGUAGUCCCUGUCUCUUAUAC